This 736-nucleotide ribosomal RNA is filed under the name uncultured bacterium. Its description in RNAcentral is "bacterial SSU rRNA". It matches the Rfam family "Bacterial small subunit ribosomal RNA", at positions 56 to 823 of the family's 1533-position model. The record is from RNAcentral.
UGCAAGUCGAACGAGCUGCUGAAGUUUUCGAUGAAGCAGCUUAGUGGCGAACGGGUGAGUAACACGUGAGCACCUGCCUUUCAGUGGGGGACAACAUUUGGAAACGAAUGCUAAUACCGCACAAGGUCGCAUGGCCAAAGGAUUUAUCCGCUAAGAUGGGCUCGCGUCCGAUUAGCUAGAUGGUGAGGUAACGGCCCACCAUGGCGACGAUCGGUAGCCGGACUGAGAGGUUGAACGGCCACAUUGGGACUGAGACACGGCCCAGACUCCUACGGGAGGCAGCAGUGGGGAAUAUUGCACAAUGGGGGAAACCCUGAUGCAGCGACGCCGCGUGGAGGAAGAAGGUCUUCGGAUUGUAAACUCCUGUCCCAGGGGACGAUAAUGACGGUACCCUGGGAGGAAGCACCGGCUAACUACGUGCCAGCAGCCGCGGUAAAACGUAGGGUGCAAGCGUUGUCCGGAAUUACUGGGUGUAAAGGGAGCGCAGGCGGAUUGGCAAGUUGGGAGUGAAAUCUAUGGGCUCAACCCAUAAAUUGCUUUCAAAACUGUCAGUCUUGAGUGGUGUAGAGGUAGGCGGAAUUCCCGGUGUAGCGGUGGAAUGCGUAGAUGUCGGGAGGAACACCAGUGGCGAAGGCGGCCUACUGGGCACUAACUGACGCUGAGGCUCGAAAGCAUGGGUAGCAAACAGGAUUAGAUACCCUGGUAGUCCACGCCGUAAACGAUGAUUGCUAGGUGU